GAUGAACGCUGGCGGCGUGCCUAAUACAUGCAAGUCGAGCGAACGGACGAGAAGCUUGCUUUUCUGAUGUUAGCGGCGGACGGGUGAGUAACACGUGGAUAACCUACCUAUAAGACUGGGAUAACUUCGGGAAACCGGAGCUAAUACCGGAUAAUAUUUUGAACCGCAUGGUUCAAAAGUGAAAGACGGUCUUGCUGUCACUUAUAGAUGGAUCCGCGCUGCAUUAGCUAGUUGGUAAGGUAACGGCUUACCAAGGCAACGAUGCAUAGCCGACCUGAGAGGGUGAUCGGCCACACUGGAACUGAGACACGGUCCAGACUCCUACGGGAGGCAGCAGUAGGGAAUCUUCCGCAAUGGGCGAAAGCCUGACGGAGCAACGCCGCGUGAGUGAUGAAGGUCUUCGGAUCGUAAAACUAUGUUAUUAGGGAAGAACAUAUGUGUAAGUAACUGUGCACAUCUGGACGGUACCUAAGCAGAAAGCCACGGCUAACUACGU
RNAcentral lists this ribosomal RNA (496 nucleotides) under uncultured bacterium. RNAcentral's name for it is "partial 16S ribosomal RNA". It matches the Rfam family "Bacterial small subunit ribosomal RNA", at positions 28 to 506 of the family's 1533-position model. The record is from RNAcentral.